GCUCCGUUGGUGAACCAGCGGAGGGAUCAUUGCUGGAACUGUGUCCGCAAGGACACAACCCCAGAUACCCUUUGUGAACUUAUUCUUAUAUCGUUGCCUCGGCGCUGAGCUGGGGGCUUCUUUCCAAGGAGCUCUCCCAUGGUCUCUCGGGACGAUGGAGCAAGCCCGCCGGCGGCCCUUCUAAACUCUUGUUUUUAUUACGUAUCUCUUCUGAGUUAUUCAAAACAAAAUGAAUCAAAACUUUCAACAACGGAUCUCUUGGUUCUG
Molecule: unclassified non-coding RNA, 267 nt
Filed under: plant metagenome
Description: partial contains small subunit ribosomal RNA, internal transcribed spacer 1, and 5.8S ribosomal RNA
Source: RNAcentral